AGAGUUUGAUCAUGGCUCAGAUUGAACGCUGGCGGCAGGCCUAACACAUGCAAGUCGAGCGGUAGCACAGAGAGCUUGCUCUCGGGUGACGAGCGGCGGACGGGUGAGUAAUGUCUGGGAAACUGCCUGAUGGAGGGGGAUAACUACUGGAAACGGUAGCUAAUACCGCAUAAUGUCGCAAGACCAAAGUGGGGGACCUUCGGGCCUCAUGCCAUCAGAUGUGCCCAGAUGGGAUUAGCUAGUAGGUGGGGUAAUGGCUCACCUAGGCGACGAUCCCUAGCUGGUCUGAGAGGAUGACCAGCCACACUGGAACUGAGACACGGUCCAGACUCCUACGGGAGGCAGCAGUGGGGAAUAUUGCACAAUGGGCGCAAGCCUGAUGCAGCCAUGCCGCGUGUGUGAAGAAGGCCUUCGGGUUGUAAAGCACUUUCAGCGGGGAGGAAGGCGAUAAGGUUAAUAACCUUGUCGAUUGACGUUACCCGCAGAAGAAGCACCGGCUAACUCCGUGCCAGCAGCCGCGGUAAUACGGAGGGUGCAAGCGUUAAUCGGAAUUACUGGGCGUAAAGCGCACGCAGGCGGUCUGUCAAGUCGGAUGUGAAAUCCCCGGGCUCAACCUGGGAACUGCAUUCGAAACUGGCAGGCUAGAGUCUUGUAGAGGGGGGUAGAAUUCCAGGUGUAGCGGUGAAAUGCGUAGAGAUCUGGAGGAAUACCGGUGGCGAAGGCGGCCCCCUGGACAAAGACUGACGCUCAGGUGCGAAAGCGUGGGGAGCAAACAGGAUUAGAUACCCUGGUAGUCCACGCCGUAAACGAUGUCGAUUUGGAGGUUGUGCCCUUGAGGCGUGGCUUCCGGAGCUAACGCGUUAAAUCGACCGCCUGGGGAGUACGGCCGCAAGGUUAAAACUCAAAUGAAUUGACGGGGGGCCCGCACAAGCGGUGGAGCAUGUGGUUUAAUUCGAUGCAACGCGAAGAACCUUACCUGGUCUUGACAUCCACAGAACUUUCCAGAGAUGGAUUGGUGCCUUCGGGAACUGUGAGACAGGUGCUGCAUGGCUGUCGUCAGCUCGUGUUGUGAAAUGUUGGGUUAAGUCCCGCAACGAGCGCAACCCUUAUCCUUUGUUGCCAGCGGUCCGGCCGGGAACUCAAAGGAGACUGCCAGUGAUAAACUGGAGGAAGGUGGGGAUGACGUCAAGUCAUCAUGGCCCUUACGACCAGGGCUACACACGUGCUACAAUGGCAUAUACAAAGAGAAGCGACCUCGCGAGAGCAAGCGGACCUCAUAAAGUAUGUCGUAGUCCGGAUUGGAGUCUGCAACUCGACUCCAUGAAGUCGGAAUCGCUAGUAAUCGUAGAUCAGAAUGCUACGGUGAAUACGUUCCCGGGCCUUGUACACACCGCCCGUCACACCAUGGGAGUGGGUUGCAAAAGAAGUAGGUAGCUUAACCUUCGGGAGGGCGCUUACCACUUUGUGAUUCAUGACUGGGGUGAAGUCGUAACAAGGUAACCGUAGGGGAACCUGCGGUUGGAUCACCU
This 1529-nucleotide ribosomal RNA is filed under the name Klebsiella pneumoniae. Its description in RNAcentral is "bacterial SSU rRNA". It matches the Rfam family "Bacterial small subunit ribosomal RNA". Lineage: Bacteria; Pseudomonadati; Pseudomonadota; Gammaproteobacteria; Enterobacterales; Enterobacteriaceae. The record is from RNAcentral.